RNAcentral lists this transfer RNA (73 nucleotides) under Rattus norvegicus (Norway rat). RNAcentral describes it as "tRNA-Ala (AGC) (tRNA-Ala-AGC-10 1 to 3)". It matches the Rfam family "tRNA". Rfam says of the family: Transfer RNA (tRNA) molecules are approximately 80 nucleotides in length. Lineage: Eukaryota; Metazoa; Chordata; Mammalia; Rodentia; Muridae. The record is from RNAcentral.
UUGGGGAUUUAGCUCAGUGGUAGAGCGCUUGCCUAGCAAGCACGAGGCCCUGGGUUCGGUCCCCAGCUCCAAA